UUUCCGUAGGUGAACCUGCGGAAGGAUCAUUAUCGUACAAAGUGUGAGGGGCAUGCGAGGGCUGUCGCUCACACAAAAGUCGGGCACGCCGGAGUGUGUCCUCUUGCAUAAUAAUCCAUCUCACCCUUUGUGCAUCCCCGCGGGGCCACCCGUCGGGCUCAUCUCGGAGGGGGGCUCGCGUUUUCCCACAAGCCCCCCUUUUACAAGUUUAGAAUGACCACAUUUAUGCAAUCAAUACAACUUUCAACAACGGAUCUCUUGGCUCUC
RNAcentral lists this unclassified non-coding RNA (267 nucleotides) under plant metagenome. RNAcentral describes it as "partial contains small subunit ribosomal RNA, internal transcribed spacer 1, and 5.8S ribosomal RNA". The record is from RNAcentral.